RNAcentral lists this unclassified non-coding RNA (329 nucleotides) under fungal sp. Its description in RNAcentral is "partial internal transcribed spacer region". The stretch from base 1 to 46 matches the Rfam family "Eukaryotic small subunit ribosomal RNA", at positions 1786 to 1831 of the family's 1831-position model. Lineage: Eukaryota; Fungi. The record is from RNAcentral.
AAGUCGUAACAAGGUUUCCGUAGGUGAACCUGCGGAAGGAUCAUUACCAAAAUACCCCCUUACUACCUAGACCACUUGUGAACCGAGUCAAUGUCCUUGGGGGAGUUUGGAAACGCGUGUGAUAACGAAGACAGAUUAGUCUGUCUUUCAUUCUCUCCACCUGUUUCCUCUCCCCCGGCGGGGUGCUGCCUGCCAUUCGUGGUGGGCUGUACUCUUGCAAAACUAAUAAACCACAUGUCAGCAGUUUAAACUGGAUGUAUUGUAUACCUUUCUCUUUUUGAGAAAUCAAGAAGAAAUGACAACUUUUAACGGUGGAUCUCUUGGCUCGU